UGGGGAAUUUUGGACAAUGGGCGAAAGCCUGAUCCAGCCAUGCCGCGUGCAGGAUGAAGGCCUUCGGGUUGUAAACUGCUUUUGUACGGAACGAAAAGGUUUGGCCUAAUAAGCUGAGCUCAUGACGGUACCGUAAGAAUAAGCACCGGCUAACUACGUGCCAGCAGCCGCGGUAAUACGUAGGGUGCGAGCGUUAAUCGGAAUUACUGGGCGUAAAGCGUGCGCAGGCGGUUAUGUAAGACAGAUGUGAAAUCCCCGGGCUCAACCUGGGAACUGCAUUAGUGACUGCAUAGCUGGAGUACGGCAGAGGGGGAUGGAAUUCCGCGUGUAGCAGUGAAAUGCGUAGAUAUGCGGAGGAACACCGAUGGCGAAGGCAAUCCCCUGGGCCUGUACUGACGCUCAUGCACGAAAGCGUGGGGAGCAAACAGG
Molecule: ribosomal RNA, 429 nt
Filed under: uncultured bacterium
Lineage: Bacteria
Description: bacterial SSU rRNA
Rfam family: Bacterial small subunit ribosomal RNA
Source: RNAcentral